UUGUGAACUGCAGGACACAUGAACAUCGACAUUUCGAACGCACMUUGCGGUCCACGGAUACAAUUCCCGGACCACGCCUGGCUGAGGGUCG
RNAcentral lists this ribosomal RNA (91 nucleotides) under Ophion sp. MS12048. RNAcentral describes it as "partial 5.8S ribosomal RNA". It matches the Rfam family "5.8S ribosomal RNA", at positions 65 to 154 of the family's 154-position model. Rfam says of the family: 5.8S ribosomal RNA (5.8S rRNA) is a component of the large subunit of the eukaryotic ribosome. It is transcribed by RNA polymerase I as part of the 45S precursor that also contains 18S and 28S rRNA. The record is from RNAcentral. Lineage: Eukaryota; Metazoa; Arthropoda; Insecta; Hymenoptera; Ichneumonidae.